Molecule: ribosomal RNA, 405 nt
Filed under: uncultured bacterium
Lineage: Bacteria
Description: bacterial SSU rRNA
Rfam family: Bacterial small subunit ribosomal RNA
Source: RNAcentral
UUAGGAAUUUUGCGCAAUGGAGGAAACUCUGACGCAGCCACGCCGCGUGAGGGAUGAAGGCCUUCGGGUCGUAAACCUCUUUUCUCAGGGAAGACACCCGACGGUACCUGAGGAAUAAGCAACGGCUAACUACGUGCCAGCAGCCGCGGUAAUACGUAGGUUGCGAGCGUUGUCCGGAUUUACUGGGCGUAAAGCGCGCGCAGGCGGUCCUGAAAGUCGAGCGUGAAAGCUCCCGGCCCAACUGGGAGAGGCCGUUCGAAACUUCAGGACUUGAAGACGGGAGAGGCAAAUGGAAUUUCCGGUGUAGCGGUAAAAUGCGUAGAUACCGGAAGGAACACCAGUGGCGAAAGCGAUUUGCUGGCCCGUCCUUGACGCUCAGGCGCGAAAGCUAGGGGAGCGACCGGG